Molecule: ribosomal RNA, 506 nt
Filed under: uncultured bacterium
Lineage: Bacteria
Description: partial 16S ribosomal RNA
Rfam family: Bacterial small subunit ribosomal RNA
Source: RNAcentral
AGUGAACGCUGGCGGUAGGCCUAACACAUGCAAGUCGAACGGCAACACAGGAGAGCUUGCUCUCUGGGUGGCGAGUGGCGGACGGGUGAGGAAUACAUCGGAAUCUACUCUGUCGGGGGGGAUAACGUAGGGAAACUUACGCUAAUACCGCAUACGACCUACGGGUGAAAGCAGGGGACCUUCGGGCCUUGCGCGAUUGAAUGAGCCGGUGUCGGAUUAGCUAGUUGGCGGGGUAAAGGCCCACCAAGGCGACGAUCCGUAGCUGGUCUGAGAGGAUGAUCAGCCACACUGGAACUGAGACACGGUCCAGACUCCUACGGGAGGCAGCAGUGGGGAAUAUUGGACAAUGGGCGCAAGCCUGAUCCAGCCAUACCGCGUGGGUGAAGAAGGCCUUCGGGUUGUAAAGCCCUUUUGUUGGGAAAGAAAUCCAGCUGGCUAAUACCCGGUUGGGAUGACGGUACCCAAAGAAUAAGCACCGGCUAACUUCGUGCCAGCCGCCGCCGUAA